CUGCGUUACAGUUACGCCUCUAGUUUCGCGUCUCAGCACGUUCUUUUGGCGCCUGCACCUGAGCACCACUUGAGAGUGAAAGAGAGCUGUGCCUGAAUCCACUGUUGUCACGGAGCUAAAGGCAGUGAAUUCCGCAAAAAUGGUCAGGUUUUGGUAAAGAGUUGGAAACAUCUUGCAGCUGAGUUCCAUUCCACGGAGUGAUACCGAUCCAACGUUCUUCCAGAGAUUCAUAGAUUCCCAGUCCAGGUGGCUGGGUGGCGAACCAACCGUGUUUGUGACUCUAACUUUAGACGGAUUGCCAGGAUCUUCUUCAUCUUUAUUGUGGAUACUGAGGAAUAGGCCGGCAGCCUGAGGGGCGGAUCUGUUGGCGGUGAUUGGCUCUCCUUGCUUGCCAAUGAGGUGUGAAACGUCUGCCACGCUGCUGUAACUCUUCUCUGAGGGCCACCCUCGUGUUCUUGCGUGUGUGCACACAGACACACACACACAGUGUCACACAAUAUGCUUCAGAUAGAUACAAAUGUAUUCACCCGCACAAAUUAAAAACACAACAGAAGACAAUGUGAAAAUGUGGUUAUAGUCCUGUCUAGGCAAGGAGACCUCGUCCCGUUUGGACUUCAGUAAGAGUGAACACACACACAGAAUUGUUCUUGGUUGCCAGCGAUGCCAGUGGGGCCUACAGAUGAGAGAAGACCGUCACACACUCUAUUCUAGUAAUGGGCAGGCAGAUGGCAGGCUGCUCUGUAGCCUCUGCUUAGGCUGAUGGCUCUAUUCAUCAGGCUGCUCGCCCUCCCUGCAGCCCUGCACUGGGCCACAAUUUAUAGAGCUCUUUCUUCCUCACACUCCCGUCUGCUAUUCUCUCUUGCUGUUAUUUAUUUGUACUUUUUUGUUUUAGUCUGCGCCUCUUCUCUUAUUUUCUCAGAGUCUAUGCUGGUGUCUGUCUGCUUGGCACCAUAAAAGGCUGUUUCAUUUCAGCUAGAAGUUCUGCUGCUGGGGGAGUGAGUUAUUGGCUCUAUUUUAGAAAGUGCUGUUACCUUUCCUGCCUUUUUUUCAUUUGGCAGACUGAAGUUUUGGUCAUGCAAACACUUUUUGGAGGCAGAAGUGCUUGGUGCAGAGGUAGUCUCAUUGUACUGACUGAGGCCCCAUCCACACUACUGCGUUUGCUAUGUUUGCACCUCCUGUCGAGACUAAAAUGGUGAAAUCAAAGACCUAAAACGGAGAAUUUUGAAAACGCUGCUGACCCCGUUUUUCGUUUUAAAACUCUGGGUAGCGUUUUAGUGUGGAUGGGCAAAAACGGAGGACUUUAGAAACAUUGGCGCAGACGCUGACAUUUGGCUCUCUGAUUGGGUCUCAUAAGUCAUGCAAAGUAGAAACAAGAUGCUACUGACAUUCGACGGGGUAUUUUUAUUAAAAUAUUUUGUACCGUGCCAAGUACGCUUAUACACUGUGUAUUUCACCCUAUUUACUUUGACGACUCCCAUUCUGUUUUCCGCCACUACAGUUUAAUUCCAAUGUUAUGUUGAGGAACAGUCCCAGCUCGUUAGUGAUCCAUGCAAAAUAAAAUUUGGUGUGGUCCUUCA
Micropterus salmoides (largemouth bass) is the source of this 1577-nucleotide long non-coding RNA. RefSeq lists it as uncharacterized. The transcript is spliced from 4 exons. NCBI's taxonomy places the organism in Eukaryota, Metazoa, Chordata, Actinopteri, Centrarchiformes, Centrarchidae. The record is from RefSeq and is a predicted model, not a curated record.